RNAcentral lists this ribosomal RNA (492 nucleotides) under uncultured bacterium. Its description in RNAcentral is "bacterial SSU rRNA". It matches the Rfam family "Bacterial small subunit ribosomal RNA", at positions 30 to 521 of the family's 1533-position model. The record is from RNAcentral.
AUUGAACGCUGGCGGCAUGCUUUACACAUGCAAGUCGAACGGCAGCGGGGGCUUCGGUCCGCCGGCGAGUGGCGAACGGGUGAGUAAUGCAUCGGAACGUGCCCAGUCGUGGGGGAUAACACAUCGAAAGAUGUGCUAAUACCGCAUACGUCCUGAGGGAGAAAGCGGGGGAUCUUCGGACCUCGCGCGAUUGGAGCGGCCGAUGUCGGAUUAGCUAGUUGGUGGGGUAAAGGCCCACCAAGGCGACGAUCCGUAGCGGGUCUGAGAGGAUGAUCCGCCACACUGGGACUGAGACACGGACCAGACUCCUACGGGAGGCAGCAGUGAGGAAUAUUGGUCAAUGGACGCAAGUCUGAACCAGCCACGUCGCGUGAAGGAAGACGGCCCUACGGGUUGUAAACUUCUUUUAUACGGGAAUAAAGUGCCCCACGCGUGGGUUUUGCAUGUACCGUAUGAAUAAGGAUCGGCUAACUCCGUGCCAGCAGCCGCGGU